UCCGGUGUGGUUUAGUUGGCUAUAAUAACCGCAGCAGAGUGCCUGCGUAUCGAAAGGUAGCUUGUAGACAAAGUGAUUUUCAAGUCGGAGACCCGAGUUCGAUCCUCGGCGCCGGAC
Molecule: non-coding RNA, 117 nt
Organism: Lophium mytilinum
Lineage: Eukaryota; Fungi; Ascomycota; Dothideomycetes; Mytilinidiales; Mytilinidiaceae
Source: the annotation of a GenBank genome assembly